Molecule: long non-coding RNA, 442 nt
Filed under: Malus domestica (apple)
Lineage: Eukaryota; Viridiplantae; Streptophyta; Magnoliopsida; Rosales; Rosaceae
Description: long non-coding RNA (MDOM_LNC019480)
Source: RNAcentral
AACCCCUAAUGUGAUUAUUCCAUGUUAUAUGAUUCAAUUGAGUCAUAUAAGAACGCUUUCCUUUAUUACGCUCGAUACUUCGGCCGAAGAUUCCCGAAUCAUAUCUUAGAGUAUUCAUCCUCUCAUAACGAGGAUUAGAGAUUCCUUGUUGAACAUUCACUUGCCUUCAUGACUAAGUGGCUUAACCCCAACUAUGCCGUGGACACCCGCGGAUGGAGUGACUUUUGAAGGAUUUAUUUUGAAAAACAUGUUCAUUUGAGCAACAUCAUAUAACAUGCAAUUAACAAUUAAAGGCGGAAUCAUGCUUGCAUGCACUCAAAAACAAAACAUUACCAUGAAAUUCAAAGCCUAGUAGAUUGAUGAACCAAUUAUCAACUCAAAACAAAGUGAGUUGAAAUUAUUACCUUUGUAGAUUCCUCUUUGCAUAAGCAAAGGCUAAUCA